CCAAUCAUGCCCUAAACCAGGGUCAAUAGUGUAAGAACUACUAAUACAAUUCAAGAGUCAAAUACAUCAGAAAAAAUAACCACAAAGGAAUAAUAACUGUCUCCGAAUACUAAUAAAGACAUAACUAGUAUAUAAAUAUAGAGGUGAACUUCAGACGCAUGAAUGUCCAACCACUACCUUAGAAGCUCCAAUAAUUGCCCAAAUCAAGUAAACUGAGGCACACUCGAGCUAGGACCUGCACCGAUAGGGCGCAGUAGGCAUGAGUACGAUUCACUUAUACUCAGUAGGUAUCAUAGGCCGACCAAGCAAAGUAGUAAAUAAAGCAUACAAAAUAUACACUAAGGGCACGUCACCUGCAAUCAAAAAAUGUCCCACAACGGUAGCCCACACCGCUUGUACUAACAGUUCUAAUAUAUCUCACAUUUAUUACAAAAACACACAAAGAUAUAGAACACAAGUAUACAUUAUGUCACAUAUAAAUAGAAUAAGAGAGAACAUAUAGAUAUAAGAUCAUCAACUACAAGUAAAGGAAGGUUAGACAAAUACAUAGAUGACAAGUCAAUAAGGCAAUACAAUAUAACAAAAACACAAUAAAGUAAGUGCAAUGUGUAUGAUAAUGAUGAUGAUGAUGAUGAUGAUGCACGAGGUUGUUGCACAACCUCCGGGAUCGUCGCACAAUCCCCGUAUACACUUACGGAGCUAAAGCAUCCCGACGUAGGAUCCAUGGGGUGUUCGUCAACCCAUAUACAAUCCAAAUAUCUCAUAUCUCCUUUUCGGCAUAUCCCUCGAAAAGUGUUUUAUAAGGUGUUACAAUAUUUUUAAAAAGGUGUUACCAGUGUUUCUUAGAUGUUGCCAUGAUGAUAUCAAUGUUUCAUGAAUGAGUAUGAUAUGAAGAUGUAAUGCUCACAACCAAUCACAAUAAGUAUUUACACAACCAACCACAUGAUAUAUUUCCACAACUAACCACAAUGAUACAUUUCCACAACCACAUGAGUCAAUAUCUACUCAUUAUUUUUAUUUCAUCCAUGAAUUUCCACAUGUCUCAUAUAUCGAUAAGGUAUGAAUAUAAUCACAAUACCCAAUGGUACUACAUUAAACAAUACAAUACAAUUACUCACAUGUAAUCAAGGCUAUCAAUGUCACAUUGGACCCCACAGGUCAAACAUAUCACAUAAUAUUUUAAUUUCUACAAUUACAUCACAUAUAGGCCACACACAGGCACAACACGUAGAUAGCCAUUUUUCAUGAUUAGUUCCCACCCUUAACAUACAUUUUGUAUCAUUAUUUACUACCUAGACCAGUUUAAAGAGUUAAGCCAGAACCUACCUCGAAAGCUGAAACCGAUCCGCUACACUUGAACCCGCGACCUUACUUUUCACGAACAAUCCCAAAUUUCACUAGAAAUAUCAAAUAUGAAAUCUACGCAUCAAAAUAAAACCAACGACAUUCAUAUUGAAUACUUUUGGUUCAGGAUCAAAACGGACCCCCAAAAUAGGUUUUCGAAAAAGAAGGGCAAAAUCAAAAUUUUACUUCAAAAACAUAUUUUCCAUAUUUUUAUAAACAUACAACUGAAAACCCAAGUUAAAUCGAGUCAAAAACGAGGUUCAAAUCAAAGAAAACCCAUUUUUGAGCUUUACCGGGUAAAAUAUUUAAAAUCUGGGUGAAUCGGAGUUGUUUUGAAGGUUAAAUUGAUGAAAGACUAGUAAUUAUAAGAUUAAAAUAUUAUUCAAGUGAAAGGGGUAAAAUUUGGGUUUAAAAUCAUUCCCUAAGAUUUUUGAGGUUUUGAUAAAUUAAAGAAGAAAUUAUUAAGAAAAUGGGUGAAUUCUUACCUUAAAUCCGUAAUACAAUCAAGAAAUAAGUGUUAAUCUAGCUUCCCAAGCUCCUACAAACUUCACUUUUAAGCUUCCAAACUAUUUAGGGUUUAACUCUCAAGAGACAAGAUGAAAAAAUGAGUAAAAUGGGUGAAAAAUUUGUUAUUUAUAGCAGAUUUUUCUGCAGUAGUUGGUGCUGUUUUUUUUUUCUAAGUCGAAAUGGACUUUGAUGGGGUGUCCGAAAUUCUUUCAGAGUCCGAUUUAUGCAAACAAACUAUGCAACCACACUAAAUUUGAUGUUUCAAACGCGAUGAAGAUAUCAGAUUUUCCAGAAAAUGUCGUUUUCACAAAAUUGACCCCCGAAGCCCGAAAUCAUAAUUUUCCAAACUGAGGGUCGAAAUGAGAUUUAAAAACUGUAAAAUCAUACUAAACAUGCUAACAAACUAAAAUUAAAAUUCUGGAUAUGCUGGAGAAGUAGGAUUUUAGAUCCGAAGUUGUUUCGAUCAAAUAUGGGUCCCACACCCAUAUUUCUAAUUUUUCAACUUUCCUAUCAACAGGUCGAAAUGAGCUCGGGUGCACCAAGACCUGAACCAAAGGUCUACCUAGCCUAAAAUUGAUAUUACGGAGCAGAUGGCACAGUCCGUUCGGUCAUCCAUCGUACGGAUCAAACUAUAUCCACAUAAGUCCAAAAUAAGGCUCUUAAAGCCAUCAAAAACCACAAUAUUGCAUAAAUGAUACCAAAAUGCAUAAAAAAUCAUGUCAAUCACUCCCAUACCCCAUAAAUAUAAUAAUGAAACUACGGGGAGGGUUAAAACUAUCAAAACACACAAAAUAAAAAAUUUCACAUAUUUCAUCAAAUUUUUAGGUCGUAACAAUCCUACUAACAGAUUAGCCAGUAGUUUAAUCCUACCAGGUAAUUUCCCCAUACAAAUUUAGGAUUUAACUUAUUCAAUUAUUAAACCAGUAAAUAAAUUAAUUAUGUAGGCCAUAGAAAUUUACAUUCUCCCACUUGGCACACACAAUGUUAAUUUAGUGUUUUAAUAUGUACGCCAAUCAUGUGCACAAUUAACGUUAAAUCCAACAUCAUUUGUCAUCGUUAAAUAAAUCAACUAGAAUGAGUCAUGGAGGUUGUACAUCACUUUACUUAACAUAAUUCCUUCCAUAUAAUACAAUAUUAGCCUAUUACCUAACAUAACCUUUUAAAUACAUAAUAGGUCCAACGAUAAUACUUAGAAUCCUUUAUCUAAGUCAGAACCUAUCAUCAUCAUUCACAAUAUUAUGUAUACAAGAGAAAACAGGUAACAACAGAAACAUAUAUAAUUUGAGAUCAAAGUGUCAAUUACAUAAACAUAAUUAAGUCUUUACAUACAAUCAUUCAUUGUUAUCAACAAGACUCAUCCUUUCAACAUGUUCAACAAAUAUUUUGGACGGUAAUUCUUUCGUCAAAGGAUUAAAAAUCAUAAGCUUGGUGCUAAUAUGUUCAAUUGACACUUUAUGUUUCUGGACUUCUUCUUUAACUAAAAAGUAUUUCAAUUUCAUAUGCUUAACAUCUUUUGAAUACUUAUCGUUUUUAGAGAAGAAAACUGCAGCAGUAUUAUCGCAAUAAAUUUUCAGCGACCUGGCUAUAUUGUCGACUAGUCCAAGUCCUGAAAUAAAAUUUCGCAACCAAUUAGCCUGGACUGUAGCCUCAAACCAUGCCACAAACUCAGCAUCCAUAGUGGAUGCAACUAUAACAGAUGCUUCGCACUCUUCCAGGAUAUUGCUCCUCCAUCUAAUAGAAACAAAUAUCCAAAUGUGGAUUUUCCUGUAUCUACACAACCAGUAUUAUCUGAAUCUGAAUAUCCAACAACAUCUAGAUGAUCGGAUCUUCUAUAAGUGAGCAUAUGAUUUUUCGUUCCUUGUAAGUAUCACAACACUUUCUUUGCAGCCUUUCAGUGAUCCAUUCUGGGAAAACUUUGAUAUCGGCCCAGUAUUCCAAUAGUAAAAAUAUCGAUGCAUAAGGAAUAUAUUUCAUUUGCUUUCAUUCUAAGUCAUUCUUUAGAUAUUAAUUGAGACUAAACUUAUCUCCUUUCUGAAUUAGAACGAGACUUGAUGAGCAUUUUUAUUCUAAAUCUCUAUAAUACUUUAUUAAUAUAGGUUUUUUGAGACAAUCCCAAUAAUUCUUGUGACCUAUCUCAAAAUAUUUCUAUUCUAAUCAUAUAGGAUGCCUCACCCAUAUCUUUCAUUUCAAAGUUAUUAGAGAGGUAUUUCUUGGUAUCAUGCAACAAAUCAAGAUUAUUAGUAGCUAGCAAGAUGUCAUCAACAUACAAGACUAACAUAAUAAACUUACUCCCAUUGACCUUCAGAUAUAUACACUAAUGAAUAGUGUUUUCUUUAAAUUCAAAGGUGACAAUCAUUUCAUUAAACUUAAGAUACCAUUAUCGGGAAGCUUGCUUAAGUCCGUAUAUUGGCUUCUUAAGUUUACACACCAUGUGUUCCUUUUCUUUAAUGGGAAACCCCUCAGGUUGAUUCAUAUAAACUUCUUCAUCUAACUUUCCAUUCAGAAAGGUUAUUUUCACAUCUAUUUGAUGUAGCUCUAAGUCAUAAUGAGCUAUCAAGGUCAUUAUAAUUCUAAGGAAAUCUUUUUUAGAGGCAGGUGAAAACGUCUUUUUAUAAUCAAUACCAUCCUUUUGAGUGAAACCUUUGGCAACAAGUCUGGCCUUGUGGCGUUCGAUAUUGUCAGUUAAGUCACAUUUGGUCUUAAAGACCCAUUUACACCCAACUCUUUUGCAACCUUCGGGUAAUUCAACAAGGUCCCAAACUUCAUUCUGUUCCAUAGAUUUUAACAAAUCUUUCAUAGCAUUUAUCCAUUUAUCAGAAUUGUUGCUUUCAAUGGCUUAUGAAAAUAAAACUGGAUCAUCAUCAAUUCCCAAGUCAGUUUCUAACUCAUGUAGCUAUACCAAAUAAUCAUCAGAAAUAGCAGAUCUUCUUUGUAUUUGAGAUCUUCUUGAUGCUACUUCUUGUGGUUCAUCUACUACAAGUUCAUCAAUUAUAGCUUUAUUGUGAUUAGUAGGAACAUUAAUUUGUUGUUCUUGUUGAUUACUUUGUUGUACAACAACUUCAGGAAUAACAAAUUUAAAAGAAGUAUAGGGUAGAGGAAUUUUCACCCUAACUUCUUUAAUAUCCAUAUUACAUGGUUCUUCACUCUUACUAACUUCGCCAUUCUCAAUGAACCUAACAUUUCCAGUUUCAACUAUUCUCGUACUAUGAUUAGGACAAUAAAAUCUAUACCCUUUUGAUUUUUCUGGAUAACCAAUGAAGAAACCACUGAUUGUUCUUGAAUCCAGUUUCUUUUCUUGUGGAUUGUAUACUCUAACUUCUGCCGGGUAACCCCAAAUAUGCAGGUUCCUCAAACUAGGUUUCCUAUCAAUCCACAAUUCAAAAGGUGUCUUUGGAACUACUUUACUAGGAACCCUAUUUAGCAAGUAAACGACAGUCCUUAAAGCAUACAUCCAUAAUGAAGGAAGUAAAGAUGAAUUACUUAACAUACUCCUAACCAUAUCCAUUAAUGUACGAUUGCGCCUUUCUACCACACCAUUUUAUUGUGGUGUGAUAGACAUUGUGUAUUGAGCACACAUGCCACGCUUUUUGAGGAAUUUAGCAAAUGGACCUGGGUGUUGUCCACUUUUAUCAUAUCUUCCAUAAUAUUCACCACCUCUAUCAGACUUGUUUAUUUUCACCUUUCUAUCUAGUUGUCUUUCAACCUUAGUAAUAAAUACCUCUAAGGUAUUAAUCGCUUGAGAUUUUUCAUGCAAUAAAUAGAUAUAUCCAUAAUGUGAAAAGUCAUCAAUAAAAGUGAUAAAAUAUUUUUCUUUAUUGAAAGAUGUGAUAACGAUACAUCAAAAUUAUCUCAUUAAUAUUUAUUGGUCAUAUGAACAAACAAUCAACCUUUGGGUGAUCCACAAACGUCUUAUAACCAAAAACUUCAAUUUACCCAUAAAUGUCAUAUCAAUUAUAAGCAUAAAAAAUAAUGCGUAAUUGAAUUUUGGUUUAAUUGUAAGCUUGAAAUUAAUUAUUCAUCAAGAUUCGACCACUUUGGUGAUUAACGAAUCUCAUCUAAAUCAAUUUCAAUUAUACAAUUAUUUCUUUUAAGUUUUAAAAGAAACUAUACUACUUUAAUGGCUCAAAGUACUCUAAAUAGUAAGAUUUCAUUAUAUCACAGAGAAUUUAAGAACCAAAUUCUUUUAUUUUAAGAGACAUGAUAUUCGGAAAAACAAUAUUCAAAUUGUCCAGUAAUAAUUUUUUUUUUUUCAAUUUAAUAUGACUACAUAAAAUUGUAUAGAUAGCAUGCGAAAUUCUGAAUUUUCCAUAAUAGACAAAACAAUAAAAAUAAUUAACUAAUAGCAAUCAAAAUAUGACCACAGCACAUGAUAUGUUCUAUGAACAUUAAAAAAGCAAAAUUAUUCGGACAGUGGGCAUUAACUAAUGAACAUUAACUAGUGAUCACAGUGGGCAUUAAUUAAUAAAUUCUUCGGAUAGUUGUCAAAAGCAAAAUUGACAGAUUGUCUUUCCACAUCCGAAAUUUUAAAACAGUAAUAAAUUUAAAUUCCUAAAUUUCAUACUUAGGGUUCAUAAAAUUAAUAGAAAACUUUAAUUGUAAUGAAAAAUCAUUAGUUCUUAAACCUCUCUCUGAUACCAUAUGUUAGCAUAUUAACAGAUUGUAUAACCUAAGCAAUCUAAUAUGUAAUCCUACCAAUCAUUCAGGAACGUAGAACUUAAUGAUUUUCACAUUAAACAAAUUCAGUAAUUCAGUAAAGAAUUACUUACCUGAAUUCUCCAUGAUUUUAACGGAAGCACACCAAGAGCAGAACGUAUUAUUUCUCUUUCUUAACCUUACUUUUUAGAAUAAAAUAUGAUGGAGUUUAUUCUUCUUUUGGAAGAGAGAGAACCCCCUUUUAAUACGGAGAGAAAACGGUUAUGUUUUCACGUUCCAUCAACGUGAUUUGUGGAUACAAUAAUUAUUCUACUAAUAGCAGUUAUCCCACUAACAGACAGUAAUCAUCCUACUAACAGAUUAGUCAGUAGUUUAAUCCACCUAGGUAACUUCCCCAUACAGAUUUAGGAUUUAACUUAUUCAAUUAUUAUUAAACCAGCAAAUAAAUUAAUUAUGUGGGCCACAGAAACUUACAAAUACUUGUAGAUUUUCACCCAUUUUUGCUGUUAGUUUCUCCUCUUUUACUCCCACUUUUUCAUAGUUAUUGUUCUGUGUUUUUAUUUUGAAUUCAAUCUGUGAUUUGGCACUUUAGACCAUUAAUUAUCAUUAGUGCAUAGUCAUUCUUUGAGAAUUUGUACUCACAGUUGAAGUAGGUGACUGAAACACAGCUAGAUGGUGGAAAUUGGGCUUAGAAGAACUUGUAUUUAGAACUCGAUGAUUGCAAAUUCUACAUGAUUGGCUCUUUUCUUUAAGUUUUAUGAAGUACUAAGAUUUCAUUAAAAGCAUUAAACAGAUAUAUAAGCAAG
RNAcentral lists this long non-coding RNA (7310 nucleotides) under Capsicum annuum. RNAcentral's name for it is "long non-coding RNA (CANN_LNC019499)". Lineage: Eukaryota; Viridiplantae; Streptophyta; Magnoliopsida; Solanales; Solanaceae. The record is from RNAcentral.